This is a long non-coding RNA of Pogoniulus pusillus (Red-fronted tinkerbird), 688 nucleotides long. RefSeq lists it as uncharacterized. NCBI's taxonomy places the organism in Eukaryota, Metazoa, Chordata, Aves, Piciformes, Lybiidae. The record is from RefSeq and is a predicted model, not a curated record. The transcript has 6 exons.
CUGAGACUGCCUCCAUUCGGCCUCAAGCUUUGGCUCAAGCCUUCUAGAAACCUCCAGCUUGGUCAGCCAAAAAGAUCCAUCAGCUGCUAAUGCAAGGACCCACCUGAAGUGCUGGUUCCAGAUGGAUCCCAUGGGAUAAACUCACCCACGAGUUGUCUCCACCAAGUCAUGGGCAGCCCCUGAGUGGUGAGAGACAUUCUGAGAGGAACUCCUCACCUCCUUCAUUUCCCAUUGCGGUUAAUCUCCUGGGGCUCCACUUCCAGCACUGGGCACCUGUUGGACCCCAACCCCACUAACGUGUGCCUGGUGGGCAGCCGUCUGGGAUCGAGGGAGUCAGCAGUGAGCCGUGGAUGCAAAUAGUCCUCUGGCCGAGACGAUGGACUCGGAGCAUGCAGGAUGCACUCCUGCCUCGGGCGCAGAUCCUUCAGGGGCGCUGGGCAUUUCAGCUCCUGAGCGCCCGAGCUGGAGACAAACCUCUGAUACCGCCGCUCGCUUUCCCGUUCCUUUCUUUGUCAUGCACAGGAGCUGUUGCUUUGGCACCUGACCAACAGCAUCCCAGCCUGCAGACAAGGACGAGGAAGACAAUGGAGGGAAGCAAGGGCCAGGAGCAGGGAGCGAGAGCUGGCAGCGCGGAGGCAGGGCCGGGACCAGCCGGUGGCAGUGCCUAAGGAGGAAGAGGAGGAGGAGG